Lepisosteus oculatus (spotted gar) is the source of this 1358-nucleotide non-coding RNA. The record is from RefSeq and is a predicted model, not a curated record. Lineage: Eukaryota; Metazoa; Chordata; Actinopteri; Semionotiformes; Lepisosteidae.
AAUAUCUUUUACUAAAGUUUUUCAUCCAAUACAUACAUUCCAAUCAAAGUAUUUACACCAGUAUAGCUCUACACUAAAAUGGUAUAAAACAUCAUAUACAUUCUUUUAUACUAGUUGCAGAAAUAAAAUCCAUCUAUAGUUUGCCUGGUAUCAUCUAAAAACACAUGUAGGUUGCUCUAAGAACAUAUGAAGUUUACAGUGACAAAAAAAUGUUUAGAAAAAGUCAUUUUAAUAUGUAUGAUGUUACUGUAGAUCAUACAGUCCUACAAAUAAAUUAAAGUGUUCACAGUUUAAUAUACAAAUAUAUUAAAAUAGGUUGCUUGGCCUCAUUUAAGGACCCAUUUAUCCAUGUGCACCUACAGCAUUGUUAUUCUCAAGAUCUUUAAUGGAUUGUCACCCGUCACAUACAGAAUUUAAGAUGAGGAAUCAAUUUUGGAGAGUUUGAGCUUUUCUUGUUUGCCACUACUACUGUAAUGGUACGAGUUACAACAACCUCCUCAGAUAAAAGAGGUGUGGUGGCUCUGUGGCUGGAAGGUUGCUGGUUCAUAUCCCGUGGCUGGCAGAGGAAUCCUACUCCAUUUGGCCCCUGAUCAAGGCCCUUAACCCCUCCUGCUUCAGGGGUGCUAUGUAAAUGGCUAACCCCAAGCUUCUCUCCCUGUCUGUGUGUCUCAUGGAAAGCACAUUGGGAUAUAUGGAAAGACAAAUUCCUUAUACAAGAAAUUGUAUAUGGCCAAUAAAGUGACCUUCUCUCUUAUUAAAGUACUGGGUAAGAAUUAGGUUGGGCUGUAAUCAUUAUUUAAAAUCUAGACUUAUACACUUAUUACAUGAUUUUCCUUCCUAGUGCUACAACAGUCACCAUGUACUGUAUUUAAAACUCUACAAUUGUACCAUUGCGUACACUUAUAUAUGUGAUUUGGGCUGCCAGCUAACCAAAGCCAUUAUAACAUGUCAGUAUGAUAUAGUAUUAGGUUAAAUUUAAUUUCAAAGCUAUUAUUAAUAUGUAUUUGCACUAUAUACCCAUUUUUCCUUUCCAUUAUUUUCUAUACUAUAAAACACAUUUCAAGACAUCAUGUAACAACAUGAUACUUUGUUCUUUAGAAAUGCACACAUCUCUCCUUAUUAAUAAUAGCCUUAUUAGCAAUAGUAUGAUGACCCUAUUAUUAAAGAGCGUGAAAUGUGAAGACAAUGUGUGUGAAUAGGUAUGAAAUCACAAAACAAAACAACACACACGGUACACUUUUGUGUUCUGGUGAAUUAAAAACAAAUAAAUGUACAAAACAUGAUGAAUGGCUGUAAGCAAAGAGACCUAGUGCAACAUGUAACAGCAUAAUUACAUUUAGUGAGACCAUCAUUAGUAU